This 645-nucleotide ribosomal RNA is filed under the name Trioserica sp. DA1580. RNAcentral's name for it is "eukaryotic LSU rRNA". It matches the Rfam family "Eukaryotic large subunit ribosomal RNA", at positions 663 to 1265 of the family's 3401-position model. The record is from RNAcentral. Lineage: Eukaryota; Metazoa; Arthropoda; Insecta; Coleoptera; Scarabaeidae.
GGACCAAGGAGUCUAGCAUGUGCGCGAGUCAUUGGGAUAUUUACGAAACCUAAAGGCGCAAUGAAAGUGAAGGUUCGCCUUGCGCGAACCGAGGGAGGAUGGACGGUUUCGAGGAACCGUCUCGCACUCCCGGGGCGUCUCGCUCUCAUCGCGAGAAGAGGCGCACCCAGAGCGUACACGCUGGGACCCGAAAGAUGGUGAACUAUGCCUGGUCAGGACGAAGUCAGGGGAAACCCUGAUGGAGGUCCGUAGCGAUUCUGACGUGCAAAUCGAUCGUCGGAACUGGGUAUAGGGGCGAAAGACUAAUCGAACCAUCUAGUAGCUGGUUCCCUCCGAAGUUUCCCUCAGGAUAGCUGGCGCUCGCUUCUCGCGAGUCUCAUUCGGUAAAGCGAAUGAUUAGAGGCAUUGGGGUCGAAACGGCCUCAACCUAUUCUCAAACUUUAAAUGGGUGAGAUCUCCGGCUUGCUUGAACUAUGAAGCCGCGAGAUAUCGGAUCAGAGUGCCAAGUGGGCCACUUUUGGUAAGCAGAACUGGCGCUGUGGGAUGAACCAAACGCUGAGUUAAAGCGCCUAAAUCGACGCUUAUGGGAUACCAUGAAAGGCGUUGGUAACUUAAGACAGCAGGACGGUGGCCAUGGAAGUCGGA